AACGAACGCUGGCGGCAUGCCUAACACAUGCAAGUCGAACGAGACCUUCGGGUCUAGUGGCGCACGGGUGCGUAACGCGUGGGAAUCUGCCCUUUGCUUCGGAAUAACAGUUAGAAAUGACUGCUAAUACCGGAUGAUGUCUUCGGACCAAAGAUUUAUCGGCAAAGGAUGAGCCCGCGUAGGAUUAGGUAGUUGGUGGGGUAAAGGCCUACCAAGCCGACGAUCCUUAGCUGGUCUGAGAGGAUGAUCAGCCACACUGGGACUGAGACACGGCCCAGACUCCUACGGGAGGCAGCAGUGGGGAAUAUUGGACAAUGGGCGCAAGCCUGAUCCAGCAAUGCCGCGUGAGUGAUGAAGGCCUUGGGUCGUAAAGCUCUUUACCAGGAUGAUGAUGACAGUACCUGGAGAAUAAGCUCCGGCUAAACUCCGUGCCAGCAG
This 438-nucleotide ribosomal RNA is filed under the name uncultured bacterium. RNAcentral's name for it is "bacterial SSU rRNA". It matches the Rfam family "Bacterial small subunit ribosomal RNA", at positions 29 to 514 of the family's 1533-position model. The record is from RNAcentral.